RNAcentral lists this ribosomal RNA (482 nucleotides) under uncultured bacterium. RNAcentral's name for it is "partial 16S ribosomal RNA". It matches the Rfam family "Bacterial small subunit ribosomal RNA", at positions 30 to 507 of the family's 1533-position model. The record is from RNAcentral.
AUUGAACGCUGGCGGCAGGCCUAACACAUGCAAGUCGAGCGGAUGAAGGGAGCUUGCUCCUGGAUUCAGCGGCGGACGGGUGAGUAAUGCCUAGGAAUCUGCCUGGUAGUGGGGGAUAACGUCCGGAAACGGGCGCUAAUACCGCAUACGUCCUGAGGGAGAAAGUGGGGGAUCUUCGGACCUCACGCUAUCAGAUGAGCCUAGGUCGGAUUAGCUAGUUGGUGGGGUAAAGGCCUACCAAGGCGACGAUCCGUAACUGGUCUGAGAGGAUGAUCAGUCACACUGGAACUGAGACACGGUCCAGACUCCUACGGGAGGCAGCAGUGGGGAAUAUUGGACAAUGGGCGAAAGCCUGAUCCAGCCAUGCCGCGUGUGAAGAAGGUCUUCGGAUUGUAAAGCACUUUAAGUUGGGAGGAAGGGCAGUAAGUUAAUACCUUGCUGCUUUGACGUUACCAACAGAAUAAGCACCGGCUAACUUCGUG